RNAcentral lists this ribosomal RNA (817 nucleotides) under uncultured bacterium. Its description in RNAcentral is "bacterial SSU rRNA". It matches the Rfam family "Bacterial small subunit ribosomal RNA", at positions 56 to 862 of the family's 1533-position model. The record is from RNAcentral.
UGCAGUCGANCGGCAGCACAGGAGAGCUUGCUCUCUGGGUGGCGAGUGGCGGACGGGUGAGGAAUACAUCGGAAUCUACCUUUUCGUGGGGGAUAACGUAGGGAAACUUACGCUAAUACCGCAUACGACCUACGGGUGAAAGUGGGGGACCGCAAGGCCUCACGCGAUUAGAUGAGCCGAUGUCCGAUUAGCUAGUUGGCGGGGUAAUGGCCCACCAAGGCGACGAUCGGUAGCUGGUCUGAGAGGAUGAUCAGCCACACUGGAACUGAGACACGGUCCAGACUCCUACGGGAGGCAGCAGUGGGGAAUAUUGGACAAUGGGCGCAAGCCUGAUCCAGCCAUACCGCGUGGGUGAAGAAGGCCUUCGGGUUGUAAAGCCCUUUUGUUGGGAAAGAAAUCCUGUCGAUUAAUACUCGGUGGGGAUGACGGUACCCAAAGAAUAAGCACCGGCUAACUUCGUGCCAGCAGCCGCGGUAAUACGAAGGGUGCAAGCGUUACUCGGAAUUACUGGGCGUAAAGCGUGCGUAGGUGGUGGUUUAAGUCUGCUGUGAAAGCCCUGGGCUCAACCUGGGAAUUGCAGUGGAUACUGGAUCACUAGAGUGUGGUAGAGGGAUGCGGAAUUUCUGGUGUANCAGUGAAAUGCGUANAGAUCAGAANGAACAUCCGUGGCGAAGGCGGCAUCCUGGGCCAACACUGACACUGAGGCACGAAAGCGUGGGGANCNAACAGGAUUANAUACCCUGGUANUCCACGCCCUAAACNAUGCGAACUGGAUGUUGGGUGCAACUUNGCACCCAGUAUCNAAGCUAACGCGUUA